CAUUAGUUACAGAAGAUAAUCUGAAAGUUUCAAUGAAAAUCUACCAAUAGUUUAUAAGCCGUGGAUGAGAGAUGAUGAUGGACAAACAGACAGAAAACACAAAUCUUCCCAUUGCAGAGGCGGUUUAGAGGGUCCCCCCCCUUUUGUGGGAAAAAAAUUGUUGAUUAUAAAGGGAAUCACUUGGGCUGGCCUGGUCCCCUCUUAGGCAGUCAGUGGAGUAAAACCCAACCCAAAACCCAAACAUUUUUAUUUGGGGUCAAAAACUUAGUAGUUAAAAUAUUUAACAGGGGACUAGUUUCAUAUUCUCUUUUCAUAGUGUUUGGCCAUCAAAAUCCUACUAUUUUGGAUUGUAACCGACAAAAUUCAUUUCACAAAGCACUUGUAAGGCUUACAUGUACAUAACUUAAAAAUAUAUGUAAACCUAUGUACGUCUUGUGGGUACUUUGAGAAACCAUAUGGCAUACCUUUGGGACCCCUCAAAUAACAAUAAUUUCAGUUUAAUUUUUCAUCAAUCACAAAA
Molecule: long non-coding RNA, 520 nt
Filed under: Mytilus galloprovincialis (Mediterranean mussel)
Lineage: Eukaryota; Metazoa; Mollusca; Bivalvia; Mytilida; Mytilidae
Source: RNAcentral